This 379-nucleotide ribosomal RNA is filed under the name uncultured bacterium. RNAcentral's name for it is "partial 16S ribosomal RNA". It matches the Rfam family "Bacterial small subunit ribosomal RNA", at positions 338 to 732 of the family's 1533-position model. The record is from RNAcentral.
CCUACGGGGGACUGCAGUGGGGAAUAUUGGGCAAUGGGCGCAAGCCUGACCCAGCAACGCCGCGUGAAGGAAGAAGGCUUUCGGGUUGUAAACUUCUUUUUACAGGGAAGAGAAGAAGGCGAUACCUGGCGAAUAAGCCACUGCUAACUGCGGGCCAACAGGCUCGGUAAGUCGUAGGAGGCACGUGUUUUCCGGAUUUACUGGGGGUAACGGGCGUGUAUCCGGGAUGACAAGUCAGAUGUGAAAACCGGGGGCUCAACCCCCGAACUGCCUUUGAAAAUGGUGGUCUUGAGUAUAGGAGAGGCAUGCGGAAUUCCUAGUGUAGCGGUGAAAUGCGUAGAUAUUAGGCGGAACACCAGUGGCGAAGGCGGCCUGCUGG